CCUACGGGAGGCAGCAGUGAGGAAUAUUGGUCAAUGGACGAGAGUCUGAACCAGCCAAGUAGCGUGAAGGAUGACUGCCCUAUGGGUUGUAAACUUCUUUUAUAUGGGAAUAAAAUGUUCCACGUGUGGGUUUUUGUAUGUACCAUAUGAAUAAGGAUCGGCUAACUCCGUGCCAGCAGCCGCGGUAAUACGGAGGAUCCGAGCGUUAUCCGGAUUUAUUGGGUUUAAAGGGAGCGUAGGUGGAUUGUUAAGUCAGUUGUGAAAGUUUGCGGCUCAACCGUAAAAUUGCAGUUGAAACUGGCAGUCUUGAGUACAGUAGAGGUGGGCGGAAUUCGUGGUGUAGCGGUGAAAUGCUUAGAUAUCACGAAGAACUCCGAUUGCGAAGGCAGCUCACUGUACUGCAACUGACACUGAGGCUCGAAGGUGUGGGUAUCAAACAGGAUUAGAUACCCGGGUAGUC
RNAcentral lists this ribosomal RNA (460 nucleotides) under uncultured bacterium. RNAcentral's name for it is "partial 16S ribosomal RNA". It matches the Rfam family "Bacterial small subunit ribosomal RNA", at positions 338 to 795 of the family's 1533-position model. The record is from RNAcentral.